UUCGCAAUGCCCGAAAGGGUGACGAAGCGACGCCGCGUGCGGGAAGAAGGCCUUCGGGUUGUAAACCGCUGUCGGGAGUUAAGAAAUGUAAGGAUGUUAAUAGCGUCUUUGCUUGACUAAGGCUCCGGAGGAAGCCACGGCUAACUCUGUGCCAGCAGCCGCGGUAAUACAGAGGCGGCAAGCGUUGUUCGGAAUUAUUGGGCGUAAAGAGCACGUAGGCGGCUAUGUAAGUCGGUUGUGAAAGCCUUCCGCUCAACGGGAGAACAGCAUCCGAUACUGCAUGGCUUGAGUGUGGGAGGGGAGAGUGGAACUUCUGGUGGAGCGGUGAAAUGCGUAGAUAUCAGAAGGAACGCCGGCGGCGAAAGCGGCUCUCUGGCCCAUAACUGACGCUGAGUGUGCGAAAGCUAGGGGAGCAAACGGGAUUAGAUACCCCGGUAGUCCUAGCCGUAAACGAUGGGCACUAAGUAGAGGGGUUUU
Molecule: ribosomal RNA, 477 nt
Filed under: uncultured bacterium
Lineage: Bacteria
Also listed under: 1 other name
Description: bacterial SSU rRNA
Rfam family: Bacterial small subunit ribosomal RNA
Source: RNAcentral